CCAAGUGCUCGUGACAGUUUAUGUUGCGUCGUGUACCUGUAAACCGGGAAUUGCGGGAAAAUGUAAGCACGCGGCAGCAGUCUGCUGCUACCUGAACAAGGAAGAAGACGCCACAUGUACGGGCAACAAGAAAAGAGAGGCAAGCCAAGCUCAAAGCCGCAGGCGUGACAUGACAAAGGGUAUCGCCGACUUAUUUCCGAAGCUGAUGAGGCUACAGUCAUCUCUGCUGCAUCGUUGAUCAUUUGCCAAUGAUCUUUCUCUACUGAAUGCUGCUGCUGUACCCUGCUGCAUCGUUGAUCGUUGGCUAUUCUGUUAUUCUUCAGCAUUUUAUAUGUUUCAUCAACCAGUAUUGUACCGUGUACCUAGUACGUUGCCUCAAAACAAUGCUUUAUUGCUCUUGGUAAUAAACAGCUUGCAUCUGA
This is a long non-coding RNA of Ornithodoros turicata, 422 nucleotides long. RefSeq lists it as uncharacterized. Lineage: Eukaryota; Metazoa; Arthropoda; Arachnida; Ixodida; Argasidae. The record is from RefSeq and is a predicted model, not a curated record. The transcript is spliced from 2 exons.